GGAGACAGCAGUGGGGAAUAUUGCACAAUGGGGGGAACCCUGAUGCAGCGACGCCGCGUGGGUGAAGGAGUAUUUCGGUAUGUAAAGCCCUAUCAGCAGGGAAGAACAAUGACGGUACCUGACUAAGAAGCACCGGCUAAAUACGUGCCAGCAGCCGCGGUAAUACGUAUGGUGCAAGCGUUAUCCGGAUUUACUGGGUGUAAAGGGAGCGCAGGCGGCGCGUUAAGACUGGUGUGAAAGCCCGCGGCCCAACCGCGGGACUGCAUUGGAAACUGGCGCGCUGGAGUGCCGGAGGGGUAGGCGGG
This 305-nucleotide ribosomal RNA is filed under the name uncultured bacterium. Its description in RNAcentral is "bacterial SSU rRNA". It matches the Rfam family "Bacterial small subunit ribosomal RNA", at positions 344 to 665 of the family's 1533-position model. The record is from RNAcentral.